AGGCAGGGGCAGGGGGAAUUCCAAGAAGGGGAUGAAGAAGGUUUUGUGAAGAGGGUUCCGGAGAAUUUCGGGAGGCAGGGGCAGGCGCAGGGGAAUUCCGAGAAGGGGAUGAAGAAGGUUUUGUGAAGAGGGUUCUGGAGAAUUUCCGGGGGCAGGGGCAGGCGCAGGGCUGAUUCCGAGAAGGGGAUGAAGAAGGUUUUGUGAAGAGGGAGUGGCCGGAUGAUCGGACGAUCGAAUACAUCAAAGGGAGUAACCCGUCCCUUUCCUUUUACAUUUAUGCAUUUAAUUUAGUUUAACAUUAUGCAUAUAUGAAUAGAUUUAUUUUUACGUCCGUCUCGGGACAUGCAUGCAUUAAUUUUUUUGUUUAUAUAUUUU
This is a long non-coding RNA of Andrographis paniculata, 375 nucleotides long. RefSeq lists it as uncharacterized. Lineage: Eukaryota; Viridiplantae; Streptophyta; Magnoliopsida; Lamiales; Acanthaceae. The transcript is spliced from 3 exons. The record is from RefSeq and is a predicted model, not a curated record.